CAUGGGUAAUGUACCUUAAGGAGAGGGAUAGCCUCGCGAAAGCGGGAGUAAUACCUCAUGUGUCCAGAGAUUCGACAGGAUUUUUGGAGAAAGAUGGCCUCUACUUGUAAGCUAUCACCUAAAGAGCAGCCCAUGUCCUAUCAGGUAGUUGGUGGGGUAACGGCCUACCAAGCCUAAGACGGGUAGCUGGUUUGAGAGAAUGGUCAGCCACAUCGGGACUGAGACACUGCCCGGACUCCUACGGGAGGCUGCAGUCGAGGAUCUUUUUCAAUGGACGAAAGUCUGAAAAUGCGACGCCGCGUGAGGGAUGAAGGCCUUCGGGUUGUAAACCUCUUUUGUUGGGGAGGAAUGCUGAAAGGUGAACAAUCUUUCAGUUUGACUGUACCUGGCGAAUAAGCCACGGCUAACUCCGUGCCAGCAGCCGCGGUAAUACGGAGGUGGCGAGCGUUACUCGGUUUGACUGGGUGUAAAGGGUCCGCAGGCGGUUUGAUAAGUAGAAAGUGAAAUCCUUCGGCUUAACCGGAGAAUUGCUUUCUAAACUAUCAUACUGGAGGAUGGAAGAGGAAAACGGAACUGUCAGUGU
Molecule: ribosomal RNA, 583 nt
Filed under: uncultured organism
Description: bacterial SSU rRNA
Rfam family: Bacterial small subunit ribosomal RNA
Source: RNAcentral